UCGGGUGUGGCCAAGCGGUAAGGCAGCGGACUUUGGAUCCGCGAUCCCAGGUUCGAAUCCUGGCACCCGAGCCA
RNAcentral lists this transfer RNA (74 nucleotides) under Ktedonobacter sp. Its description in RNAcentral is "tRNA-Gln". It matches the Rfam family "tRNA". From Rfam's summary of the family: Transfer RNA (tRNA) molecules are approximately 80 nucleotides in length. Their secondary structure includes four short double-helical elements and three loops (D, anti-codon, and T loops). The record is from RNAcentral. RNAcentral also lists the same sequence under 1 other name. Lineage: Bacteria; Bacillati; Chloroflexota; Ktedonobacteria; Ktedonobacterales; Ktedonobacteraceae.